GAUGAUCAUGGCUCGGGAGCAUAACACAUGCAAGUCGAGAGAGGGUUUGCUCAGUAUUGAGUAUUGUAAGAAUUGAAUGUUGAAUUGAGAGCAAAUCCAAGUGGCGAACGGGUGAGUAACGCGUGAGUAACCUGCCCUAUACACAUGGAUAACAUACUGAAAAGUUUACUAAUACAUCAUGAGACCUAUGUGUGGCAUCGCAGAGAGAUCAAAGAUUUAUCGGUAUAAGAUGGACUCGCGUCUGAUUAGCUAGUUGGAAAGAUAACUGCCCACCAAGGCGACGAUCAGUAGCCGAUCUGAGAGGAUGAUCGGUCACAUUGGAACUGAGACACGGUCCAAACUCCUACGGGAGGCAGCAGUGGGGAAUAUUGCACAAUGGGGGGAAGCCUGAUGCAGCAACGCCGCGUGAGCGAAGAAAGUUUUUCGAAUCGUAAAAGCUCUGUCCAGGGGGAGAUAAAGACGGGACCCAUAGAGGGAACCCCGGCCAAAUACGUGCCCGCCGCCCCCGUUAAAAGGAGGGGGCCAAGCUUUUUCCGGAAUUAUUGGGGUAAAGGGGGCGUAGGCGUCUUUCAAGUCAGGUGUAAAAGCGUGAGGUCAACCGUAGUAAGCACCGAAACUGGAAGGCUUGAGUGCAGGAGAGGAAAGUGGAAUUCCCAGUGUAGCGGUGAAAUGCGUAGAUAUUGGGAGGAACACCGGUGGCGAAGGCGGCUUUCUGGACUUUUACUGACACUGAGGUACGAAAGCGUGGGUAGCAAACAGG
RNAcentral lists this ribosomal RNA (760 nucleotides) under uncultured Prevotella sp. Its description in RNAcentral is "bacterial SSU rRNA". It matches the Rfam family "Bacterial small subunit ribosomal RNA", at positions 25 to 776 of the family's 1533-position model. Lineage: Bacteria; Pseudomonadati; Bacteroidota; Bacteroidia; Bacteroidales; Prevotellaceae. The record is from RNAcentral.